GACGAACGCUGGCGGCGUGCUUAACACAUGCAAGUCGAACGGAAAGGCCCUGCUUUUGUUGGGUGCUCGAGUGGCGAACGGGUGAGUAACACGUGAGUAACCUGCCCUUGACUUUGGGAUAACUUCAGGAAACUGGGGCUAAUACCGGAUAGGAGCUCCUGCUGCAUGGUGGGGGUUGGAGAGUUUCGGCGGUUGGGGAUGGACUCGCGGCUUAUCAGCUUGUUGGUGGGGUAGUGGCUUACCAAGGCGUUGACGGGUAGCCGGCCUGAGAGGGUGACCGGCCACAUUGGGACUGAGAUACGGCCCAGACUCCUACGGGAGGCAGCAGUGGGGAAUAUUGCACAAUGGGCGGAAGCCUGAUGCAGCAACGCCGCGUGCGGGAUGACGGCCUUCGGGUUGUAAACCGCUUUCGCCUGUGACGAAGCGUGAGUGACGGUAAUGGGUAAAGAAGCACCGGCUAACUACGUG
RNAcentral lists this ribosomal RNA (468 nucleotides) under uncultured bacterium. RNAcentral describes it as "partial 16S ribosomal RNA". It matches the Rfam family "Bacterial small subunit ribosomal RNA", at positions 28 to 507 of the family's 1533-position model. The record is from RNAcentral.